GCGGGGCGUCCGGUCUCAUCGCGACGUGCUGGCGGGAGCCUGUGGGGAGAAAGUGGGCAGCUUCAGCGGCGGCAGCGGCGGCGGCGGCGGGCGGGGUGGGGCCCAGCCGCUCCCGCGCCCCCUCGGGAGCCCCGGCGCUCUCACCAGUGUGAAGGCAUCGUAGGCCUGCGCCAGCUCCUCCGUGCGGUACUGCUCUAGCACCACCACGCCCUGUAGGCCCGCGCUGCGACGGCGUGCACAGCCCUCGCAGUGCACCAGGCUCUCCCGCUGCACCUGACAGUGCUUCAUUGACUGCAGGAGGCAGAACCUGAACAAGACCCAAAGGGCUCACUUCUCAUACCCUUCACUGUACCAUGAUGAACCCAAGCCCAGCCUCUCACCGGUGAGGGGCCCCACGUUCCAGGCGAUGUUGUUGCACCAGCCAGUAGCCUGCACCCAAUGCACAGUCCCUGCAUUAAUCCACACAAGGUCUCCAGGGCGCUGCACGAAGCGGUAAACAGGAAUAUUGGACGCAUAGAGGUCAUCCAAGAUUGGCCACCAGGAACCAGUCAAGUAGUCUACACCAUGCCUGUGGAGUGGGCAGUCACAGAGUCAAGAGGGAAACCCAAGGACCCGAGGUGAUGGGGUGACUAGCAAGGGGUGGUGCGCACCGAUCGCAGAAGGCGCUGAUGGUCUCCCAAUAGUGCUCAUGUACCGCGAACCACUCACAGUCUCCAGGGCCAAUGUUGAUAUUGACAGAGCAGAAAUUGUUAUUCUCUUGGUGGCCUGCAGAGGGAGAUAGAACGUCACGGACGGUCUGAUGCAAGCUCCCAAGGAGCGACAACCCCGCCCUUUGCCCUCAUUGGCUAAGCACUGAGUGCGCACAGCCAGCGCAGUGCACAUGCACGCGCA
This is a long non-coding RNA of Mastomys coucha (southern multimammate mouse), 891 nucleotides long. RefSeq lists it as uncharacterized. The transcript has 3 exons. The record is from RefSeq and is a predicted model, not a curated record. NCBI's taxonomy places the organism in Eukaryota, Metazoa, Chordata, Mammalia, Rodentia, Muridae.